GCCUGGUUAGUUUGGUAGAGCGUGGGACUCUUGAUCUUAGGGUCGUGAGUUCAAGCCCCACAUUGGGUG
This 69-nucleotide transfer RNA is filed under the name Ailuropoda melanoleuca (giant panda). It matches the Rfam family "tRNA". Rfam says of the family: Transfer RNA (tRNA) molecules are approximately 80 nucleotides in length. Their secondary structure includes four short double-helical elements and three loops (D, anti-codon, and T loops). Lineage: Eukaryota; Metazoa; Chordata; Mammalia; Carnivora; Ursidae. The record is from Rfam by way of RNAcentral.